GGCACCAUGGCCUAAUGGUAAGGCGUUGCUUUCCGGUGGCAAAGAUUGUGGGUAUGUUAGCACCUCAAUUCCCCCAUUGCUUAGCCGUCCACUAACCAAAGUCCGCAGGUUCGAGUCCCACUGGUGUCG
This is a non-coding RNA of Plenodomus tracheiphilus IPT5, 129 nucleotides long. NCBI's taxonomy places the organism in Eukaryota, Fungi, Ascomycota, Dothideomycetes, Pleosporales, Leptosphaeriaceae. The record is from the annotation of a GenBank genome assembly.